UAAUCUACCUCUGAAUUGGGGAUAACAUUGUGAAAGCGAUGCUAAUACCGAAUAAUAUCCCGAGAACUUAGGCUUUUGGGAUCAAAGGUGGCCUCUACAUGUAGGCUACUGUUUAGAGAUGAGCCCGCGUACCAUUAGCUUGUUGGUAGGGUAAUGGCCUACCAAGGCAACGAUGGUUAGCUGGUCUGAGAGGAUGAUCAGCCACACUGGAACUGACACACGGUCCAGACUCCUACGGGAGGCAGCAGUGAGGAAUUUUGCGCAAUGGGGGAAACCCUGACGCAGCAACGCCGCGUGAGUGAUGAAGGCUUUCGAGUCGUAAAGCUCUGUCAAGUGAGAAGAACCUACUUUUUGUUAAUACCAUUAAGUACUGACGGUAUCACUGAAGGAAGCACCGGCUAACUCCGUGCCAGCAGCCGCGGUAAUACGGAGGGUGCAAGCGUUAUUCGGAUUUACUGGGCGUAAAGAGGGCGCAGGCGGUUUUUCAAGUCGGAUGUAAAAUCUCCCCGCUCAACGGGGAGGGAUCAUCCGAUACUGUUGAGCUAGAGGGCAGCAGAGGGAGGCGGAAUUCCCGGUGUAGUGGUGAAAUACGUAGAUAUCGGGAAGAACACCAGUGGCGAAGGCGGCCUCCUAGGGUUUCUGACGCUGAGGCCCGAAAGCGUAGGGAGCGAACAGGAUUAGAUACCCUGGUAGUCCACGCCGUAAACGAUGG
Molecule: ribosomal RNA, 712 nt
Filed under: uncultured bacterium
Lineage: Bacteria
Description: bacterial SSU rRNA
Rfam family: Bacterial small subunit ribosomal RNA
Source: RNAcentral